AGUCAGGUGGCUCAGACCAAGCAGGGCUUUCCUUCUCCCAGUGGACUGUGAAGGGUGCACUGCCAGUCUCUUCUGUUCACCAGGGCUUCUUCUGACAUCCAGGUGAGAGAACUGGAGAAGCGUGCCUCAGGCGGGGCUUUUGAGCUGAUUCUCAGACCUCAGUCAAAAGAAUCCAUUCCAGAAUUCCCUCUUUCCUCUCCAAUGAAGAAGGGUCUUUUCCUGGAAGAAAUUCAGAAGAAAUCUGCAGCUGCAGAAGAAAGACGCAAGUCCCAUGAAGCCGAGGUCUUGAAGCAGCUUGCUGAGAAACAAGAGCAUGAGAAAGAAGUGUUUCAGAAAGCAAUACAGGAAAACAACAACUUCAGUAAAAUGGCAGAGGAGAAACUGAUCCACAAAAUGGAAGCCAACAACCGAGAGGCACAAAUGGCUACCAAACUGGAGCAUUUGCGAGAGAAGAAUAAGCACACUGAAGACAUGAGGAAGAACCAAGAAUCCAAAGAUGCUGCUGAGAAGACUGAAGCUGACUACGGUGUUCUGAGAACUGACUUUCUUCCCUUCCCCUUCCUAAAUGUCCAAAGACUGUACUAGCCAGUGUCAUUUUAUUUUUUGGCCUCCUGACAAAUAUUCUAGAAGUGGAUGUAGAACUGGAGAGGCAGAUCCAGACUAAGAU
RNA transcript from Carlito syrichta (Philippine tarsier), 667 nucleotides. It is a transcript of the gene named stathmin pseudogene, with no coding region annotated. Lineage: Eukaryota; Metazoa; Chordata; Mammalia; Primates; Tarsiidae. The transcript has a single exon. The record is from RefSeq and is a predicted model, not a curated record.